Molecule: long non-coding RNA, 354 nt
Filed under: Monodelphis domestica (gray short-tailed opossum)
Lineage: Eukaryota; Metazoa; Chordata; Mammalia; Didelphimorphia; Didelphidae
Description: lncRNA (ENSMODG00000051281.1)
Source: RNAcentral
CUGUCUAUUGCUGUUUGAUAUUAGGGUGGGGUUGGAUCUAAAGGGAGAAAGUAUGGGCAGUGUUGUAUAAAGAAAAGAACCUUAGACUAAGAACCAGGAUAUCUGACUACAAAAUACAACUCUGCUCUGAAUGAACUGAGUCAAUUAACCAUUUUGGACCAAACCUGAGCUUAAAUCUGGGUCACCUGUGUGACUUUGGGCUCUGAGAAAUCUUGUUCUUUCCAGAAGAUUUUGUCACUGAAGCAUGCUCUUUCUCUAAUGCCCCCAGAAGCACUAAGCCAAGAAGAAAACAGAGGUCUUGGCUUCCUACUUCACUAAAAAAAAAAAAAAGAGGCCAUCUGUAAAGUAAGCAGA